RNAcentral lists this ribosomal RNA (552 nucleotides) under uncultured bacterium. RNAcentral's name for it is "bacterial SSU rRNA". It matches the Rfam family "Bacterial small subunit ribosomal RNA", at positions 777 to 1329 of the family's 1533-position model. The record is from RNAcentral.
AAUAGAUACCCCGGUAGUCCACGCCCUAAACGAUGUCUACUAGUUGUUGGGUCUUAAUUGACUUAGUAACGCAGCUAACGCGUGAAGUAGACCGCCUGGGGAGUACGGUCGCAAGAUUAAAACUCAAAGGAAUUGACGGGGACCCGCACAAGCGGUGGGUGAUGUGGAUUAAUUCGAUGCAACGCGAAAAACCUUACCUACCCUUGACAUGGAAGGAAUCCUGGAGAGAUCUGGGAGUGCCCGAAAGGGAACCUUUACACAGGUGCUGCAUGGCUGUCGUCAGCUCGUGUCGUGAGAUGUUGGGUUAAGUCCCGCAACGAGCGCAACCCUUGUCAUUAGUUGCUACGAAAGGGCACUCUAAUGAGACUGCCGGUGACAAACCGGAGGAAGGUGGGGAUGACGUCAAGUCCUCAUGGCCCUUAUGGGUAGGGCUUCACACGUCAUACAAUGGUACAUACAGAGGGCCGGCCAACCCGCGAGGGGAGGCGAAAUACCCACGAAAGUAGUAUCGUAGUCCGGAUUGUAGUCCGCAACUCGACUACAUGAAGUUGG